AGGGCCAGCCUGGGCCAAGAAAAACACCCCUUCCCCACGGCCCAGGGGGUCCAGCCUCCUCACUGCACAGAGCCCGCCUCACGGGCCCCCCCGCCCCCAACCCAGGGGAGGAGACGUCCCGUCCGGAGGGGGGUGGAGGAAGCGUCCCGGUGGCUGCCACCGCACAGAUUUCCAGGGGACGCUGCCCGGCUGGGGUCCCCGCACCGCACUGACCCCCUCUGGCUUCUUGUUUCAGGUGGCGUCAUCCUGCCAGCCCCUUCCCCCGCCUGAACUGAGGCGGAACACUGCUCCGGCCCGGCGCAUCGAGCACUUGGGCUCCACCAAAUCCCUCCACACCUCGAAGCAACGGAGCACGCUGCCCAGGUGAGUGGGUGGGGCCGGCAGGGUGGGGGAGGGUACAGCUCGCAGCCUGCUCCUUGUCCGCUGCCCCCCCCAUGGAAAGGGGUGUUGGCUCAGACACCGAGUGUGGGGAUCCACU
Molecule: long non-coding RNA, 478 nt
Filed under: Chrysemys picta bellii (western painted turtle)
Lineage: Eukaryota; Metazoa; Chordata; Testudines; Emydidae
Description: lncRNA (ENSCPBG00000019653.1)
Source: RNAcentral